This 1007-nucleotide ribosomal RNA is filed under the name Pseudoniphargus elongatus. Its description in RNAcentral is "16S ribosomal RNA". The stretch from base 791 to 949 matches the Rfam family "Archaeal large subunit ribosomal RNA", at positions 2544 to 2703 of the family's 2987-position model. Lineage: Eukaryota; Metazoa; Arthropoda; Malacostraca; Amphipoda; Allocrangonyctidae. The record is from RNAcentral.
ACUGUUUUUGUUUUUGUAUUUAAUUAGACUACAUAAGUAGUACCUUUUGUAUCAGGGUUAUUCAAUUAAAUAAAUAAUUUAUAUUUCUCGAUAUUAAGUAAGUUAAAUAAAAUGUUAUAUGUUAAAUAAUUAUACAAAUUUAUUUAGUAGUGAAAAUUUUUCGUAGUUAAAGAUAUCUUGUUAUUAAGGUUUAAGUAAAAAGGGAUUAGCUUUUUUUAUACCUAAAUUUUUAUGUUUGUGUGAUAAAUUAGGCUUAAGAGUAGCUAUAUUAAUAAUUUGUUUUAAAAUUUUUAUGUAGAAUAUAUUAAUAAUUAGUAUAUUUUAAAUAAUUUAAUUUUAUUUAAUGGUUUUAUUUAAAAUGAAUGAAUUAGUAUUUUUUUUUUCUGUAAAAUAGAACUCGUGUAUUAUAGAAUAGUUUAUCAAAAACAUUUUUUUAUUUUUAUAAAGUAAGGCCUGCCCAGUGUGGUAUAAACGGCUGCGGUAUUUUGACUGUGCUAAGGUAGCAUAAUAAUUUGUUUUUUAAUUGUAAACUGGAAUGAAAGGUUUUAUCUAUAAUUUAUUUAAUUUAUAGAAAGAAUAAUUUAUAUUUGUGGUAAAAAUACCACAAUUUUGUAAAGUGACGAUAAGACCCUAUAAGCUUUAUUUAUUUAAUAAAUAAAAUUAACUAUUUAAUAUUUUUUUAUUAGUUGAAUUUUACUGGGGCAGUAAUAUUAUUUAAAUUAAUAUAUUUUAAACAUAAAUUAAUGAAGAUAAGAUCUUUUAGUAAAGAAAGUUGAUAAGUUACUGUAGGGAUAACAGCGCAAUAAUUUUGGAGAGGUCUUAUUUAUAAAAUUGAUUGCGACCUCGAUGUUGAAUUAAAAUUUCUUUUUGUCGCAGCAGGCAAGAUAGAAGGUUUGUUCAACCUUUAAAUUUUUACAUGAUUUGAGUUCAAAUCGGUUUAAGCCAGAUUGGUUUCUAUCUUUUAUAAAUUAAUAUUUAUGUAAGUACGAAAGGGACACAUAAAUUUU